AUUGAACGCUGGCGGCAUGCUUUACACAUGCAAGUCGAACGGCAGCGCGGGCUUCGGCCUUGCGGCGAGUGGCGAACGGGUGAGUAAUACAUCGGAACGCCCCCAGUAGUGGGGUAUAGCCCGGCGAAAGCCGGAUUAAUACCGCACACGACCUGAGGGAGAAAGCGGGGGCUUUUCGGACCUCGCGCUUUUGGAGCGGCCGAUGGGAGAUUAGCUAGUUGGUGGGGUAAAGGCCUACCAAGGCGACGAUCUGUAGCUGGUCUGAGAGGACGACCAGCCACACUGGGACUGAGACACGGCCCAGACUCCUACGGGAGGCAGCAGUGGGGAAUUUUGGACAAUGGGCGAAAGCCUGAUCCAGCAAUGCCGCGUGUGUGAUGAAGGCCUUCGGGUUGUAAAGCACUUUUGGCGGGAACGAAAAGGACUGUGCCAAUACCACGGUUCGAUGACGGUACCCGAAGAAUAAGCACCGGCUAACUACGUG
Molecule: ribosomal RNA, 484 nt
Filed under: uncultured bacterium
Lineage: Bacteria
Description: partial 16S ribosomal RNA
Rfam family: Bacterial small subunit ribosomal RNA
Source: RNAcentral